This 468-nucleotide ribosomal RNA is filed under the name uncultured bacterium. RNAcentral describes it as "partial 16S ribosomal RNA". It matches the Rfam family "Bacterial small subunit ribosomal RNA", at positions 28 to 507 of the family's 1533-position model. The record is from RNAcentral.
GACGAACGCUGGCGGCGUGCUUAACACAUGCAAGUCGAACGGAAAGGCCCUGCUUUUGUGGGGUGCUCGAGUGGCGAACGGGUGAGUAACACGUGAGUAACCUGCCCUUGACUUUGGGAUAACUUCAGGAAACUGGGGCUAAUACCGGAUAGGAGCUCCUGCUGCAUGGUGGGGGUUGGAAAGUUUCGGCGGUUGGGGAUGGACUCGCGGCUUAUCAGCUUGUUGGUGGGGUAGUGGCUUACCAAGGCUUCGAAGGGUAGCCUGCCUGAGAGGGUGACCGGCGACAUUGGGACUGAGAUACGGCCCAGACUCCUACGGGAGGCAGCAGUGGGGAAUAUUGCACAAUGGGCGGGAGCCUGAUGCAGCAACGCCGCGUGCGGGAUGACGGCCUUCGGGUUGUGAACCGCUUUCGCCUGUGACGAAGCGUGAGUGACGGUAAUGGGUAAAGAAGCACCGGCUAACUACGUG